UUUUUGCCUAGAAAUAUAGUUUCUUUCUCUAUUCUGCUCUAACCUGUAACACCCCCUUCCCUCUCUACCUCACAUUCUUUGGCCAUCACCCAGAGAAAAAUUAAUCUAGCCACCUGUCUCUGGGAAGCCUGAGGCUUUUCUCUGGCUAGUUUGUAUUCAUCUUUUGCCCUUAACAAAUCUGAACAUAAAAACAGUACUAAAAACAUCUGAUGUGAAGAGGUGCUUGGUUUACCAGUGCUGUAAGAUAAUGGUAGUGGAGGUGUCCAUGCUUAUUAUACCAUAGAGUUAAAGUAAAGACUGGAUCCAAAUCAUAACAGAAAAAGAGCAAGAAAGAAAGAACAAAAAAGAUAUGUAGAGACAUAACAAAUAGAGGGACCAGGGAACAUUCUGCAUUAAAUAUGUAACCUUAUUAAACAGUCAACAUUCAAAUUUACAUGGGCAAGGCACCACGAACGUGACAUUGAGAAGGUAUAUCUCAAUAUGCAAGCCAUUGCAAGGUGGGAGGUGGGGGAGGUUAAGGGAAUAUGCUGGCUGACAUGGUCAGUGGUCUGUGUGCUGCCACUUCAGUGCAUAAUCAGGCAAGGAGUUAUGUGCACAUGGUCUAUGCUAAGAUGAACCAAACACCAACCUUCAAGGCAAGGAGCGGCUGUGCCAGAGGAUACCAAGAGCGGACUGCUGGCCUGCAGCAGCAUGCCCACUCCAUGGCCAUUCCUAGGAGCAGAGCCCUGCACUCUGGCUAGAGGAGGCAAGACUCUUUGUGGGCUAACCAGCCUUCCUCCCUGUGAAUCCUAUAUUGCUGGCCAGGUGAUAAGGACAUUCUCCAUAUAGAGCCUCACAUAUUCCAAUCACUUAAAAAAAUAAUAAGAGCACAAUAAAAUACAUUAUUCUCCUUUCCUGAUCCUCUUUCAUAUACAUGAAUCACAUGAAAGGCUGUUAAAAAUGUUAAAAGUUUAGAAAUUUCCAAGGCCACUAAUGUGCUAUGUAAGUAAUACUGCACAAUCAGUCUUGGCUUUAAGGAAACUCUGCACUGGUAGAUGAGGGGCCUCAGGGCUCACUCACUCACUAGGCACAGAGAACAUGUCUGUCAACCCUGCCACAGGUUGCUUCUCUAGAGGCGUGGCCUCUACUUCCAGCAUGCGUGUGCACGCACACAUGGGCACACAAGUGUACACACACAUUGUUCGAGUGACUCUUGGGAUUUCAAGGUCAAAGUAAACACAUACUCACAGUUUUGAAUAAAACAAGCACAGGUACACAUGUGUAUACACACACACACACACACACACACACACACACAUACACACACACCCCAGUGGAAGGAACGCUCAUCUCUUAGCGCAAAUAUGUGCCAAGGGAAGAAGGGGGAAGGUUUCUGUAGACUCGCUUCAGGUGAAGUUGCAACAUAAACACUGUAAUAUACAGCUAAAAAAAUACAUACAAAAAUUGCACAUAUAUCCAUAGGAGGGGAGCACAGGCUGCACACAUGGUGAACAGCUCUCAAUCACCCACCUCAGCAAUCAGAAUUCUCGUGAGCUGUCCUCCAGAGCCAUUUUAGAGAGAGUCAGAAGGAACAAUGAGCCACUUACACUGGGAGGCAGUCUCUCUAAAAGAGGUCAACAUUCUGAGGAGGUCAGCAGUCUCAUCAGUGGCCUUCUUCCCCUCCCCUGCCUACGGCCAUCCCAACAGCCCACCUCACUGUGCCCUGUAAGAUCUUAGAGCUCCACCGACAGCUAUUUCAUUCAGGGCAAUUGUUUACAGCAUUUGCUAAACUAGUUAACACUGGCUACUGAUAGAAGGGAGCUGGCCAAUUACUGCUCAGGGGAAAACUGCAAAUGCUGACAGUUCUGACAGUAAUCAAAGGGUACUUUAAACUCUGUUCCCUGAUGGCCCCUAGAGAAUUGCACAUGCAAGAAAAUCAUCUCCUCAUGCCCUGCCAGCUAUUUAUAAGCUCUGAACUGCACUCCACCCUGCUGAGGCAUUGGUGACACCACCUUGGGUCAGCUCUGUAAUGGGCCACAAGUGGCUGAUAAAUCCAAACAUCACUGGCAAGUGGGGACAGAGUAGAGAAUCAGGCAGUGGCAGCAG
This 2085-nucleotide long non-coding RNA is filed under the name Macaca fascicularis (crab-eating macaque). RNAcentral's name for it is "lncRNA (ENSMFAG00000050956.1)". Lineage: Eukaryota; Metazoa; Chordata; Mammalia; Primates; Cercopithecidae. The record is from RNAcentral.